Molecule: transfer RNA, 75 nt
Filed under: Parasphingorhabdus halotolerans
Lineage: Bacteria; Pseudomonadati; Pseudomonadota; Alphaproteobacteria; Sphingomonadales; Sphingorhabdaceae
Description: Sphingorhabdus sp. JK6 tRNA-Gln
Rfam family: tRNA
About the family: Transfer RNA (tRNA) molecules are approximately 80 nucleotides in length.
Source: RNAcentral
UGGGGUGUCGCCAAGUGGUAAGGCACCGGCUUUUGAUGCCGGCAUUCGCAGGUUCGAUCCCUGCCACCCCAACCA